This 241-nucleotide ribosomal RNA is filed under the name uncultured bacterium. RNAcentral's name for it is "partial 16S ribosomal RNA". It matches the Rfam family "Bacterial small subunit ribosomal RNA", at positions 536 to 776 of the family's 1533-position model. The record is from RNAcentral.
GAGCGUUGUCCGGAAUCACUGGGCGUAAAGGGCGCGUAGGCGGUCUGUUAAGCGUGUGGUGAAAGCUCGGGGCUCAACCCCGAGUCUGCCAUGCGAACUGGUGGACUUGAGCACUGUAGAGGCAGGUGGAAUUCCGGGUGUAGCGGUGGAAUGCGUAGAGAUCCGGAAGAACACCGGUGGCGAAGGCGGCCUGCUGGGCAGUUGCUGACGCUGAGGCGCGACAGCGUGGGGAGCAAACGGG